Molecule: non-coding RNA, 1393 nt
Organism: Drosophila melanogaster (fruit fly)
Lineage: Eukaryota; Metazoa; Arthropoda; Insecta; Diptera; Drosophilidae
Source: Ensembl
CUGCACUGUGGCCAAACAAACACCCAGCUCUUGGAGGUGAGUGGUCUCCGCUCCUCCUCCACUCCAUCUACACUUCACCUGGGCCAAGUGACGCUUCUGUCGUUUCCUCGUCGCGGGCCGAAACGGGUUUUGGAUCUGCCAUGCGCGGUGCUCCCCGCUUUAUGUAAGUCAAGCGCGGAGACCAACAACGUAGUCAUGGAGCUGGAGCAGGGAACUUGGAGCGCGGAGCAUGGAGCCGCCUAGCGGGCAGAUGCGCCGACUUGGUGGAGGUGGUGGAGCAAAUGCAGUGCCUGUGCAAAGCGAAACGGCAAAAUGGGCAGCAGCAACAGAAGACACUCAAAGAAAAUGGCCCAUCCAAUUAAUGGCCAGAAACGCAAAGAACUGAUUUUAAAGAAAAAAAGGCCCAUAUGUGUUUGUCCUAAGUUUUUCCGAAAAUCCGGCAAAAGAUGGCACGGUGUGCAUGGAAAAGUUGCCGUUGAAUGGGAAAUUGCUGCGACACGUUUUUGCCUUGGUCUGCUGGGAUGGGAUCUGUGACCGGUCUGAGUCGGCGGUGGUCCGGUGUCUAUGUCUCAGCCCCAGGUUUGUUUUCCGCAUAAAAAGACACAUUCAUGCUGGCAUUCUGCAGCCAACUUUAGCCUUUGGGUGCUAACCGGCUAACUCGGCUGGCUUAUGCAAAACUCCACAUCCUCAGCUAUUCCGCGACGAUGUACCUUGUGCAACACCCCAGACACUAUGGAGUCUGACCAGUUUAUCCACCCGCCAUGUGGUCAUCUAGGUGCACCGUUCUCGAGGCGCGGUAAAAGUAAAAGUUAAUGUGUGUGGCCGGCGCGUGAAGAAUGGCAAUUACAGAUCGAUGAUCGCCGUGAACCAGCUGGCUCAUUUAGCCUCCUUAAUUAUGCCACGAUUUCGCUCAUCCAACUCAUCUGCUUUCUGGCCAUGGAGGUGCCCCAUUGUGCGACUUACUUUGCUAUUUUGUGUUUCUCUGGCCAAAAUACGGAAAGUGGCAAGGCAGAAAACAUAAAUGAUUUUACGGGGGUCUAAAUGAGUUAAUUAGGUUUGCAGUCGAGAGGUCUUAACCAACACGAGUUGGCCAUGGCAAAGCCAAUGAAGAUAUCAGAGAAGGGGUAAUAUGUAGGUGGAUGGAUACAUUUGUACUACAUGAACCAUGCAACCCUAAAGGCUUUGGGUUUUGUUGAGUUAUUUUGGAAAUCUGUUUUUCUCCAUCAUUAGCUAAGAUUAAGCGUUUAAAAGAUAAUAUAUCUAUUAGGAAUCAUGAUUUAAUAAGAAAAGAUAAUACAUAUUUAAAAAAAAAAAUUAUUCCACAGACCAUUGCUGAAAAAUUUGAAUAAAGCUUAAUGUAAUGCGUAGUGAAUAACUCGCACCUUUAUAACAU